Molecule: ribosomal RNA, 450 nt
Filed under: uncultured bacterium
Lineage: Bacteria
Description: partial 16S ribosomal RNA
Rfam family: Bacterial small subunit ribosomal RNA
Source: RNAcentral
GUGUGGAAUAUUGGACAAUGGGCGAAAGCCUGAUCCAGCCAUGCCGCGUGUGUGAAGAAGGUCUUCGGAUUGUAAAGCACUUUAAGUUGGGAGGAAGGGCAGUAAGUUAAUACCUUGCUGUUUUGACGUUACCGACAGAAUAAGCACCGGCUAACUUCGUGCCAGCAGCCGCGGUAAUACGAAGGGUGCAAGCGUUAAUCGGAAUUACUGGGCGUAAAGCGCGCGUAGGUGGUUUUGUAAGUUGGAGGUGAAAUCCCCGGGCUCAACCUGGGAACUGCCUCCAAAACUGCAUGACUAGAGUACGGUAGAGGGUAGUGGAAUUUCCUGUGUAGCGGUGAAAUGCGUAGAUAUAGGAAGGAACACCAGUGGCGAAGGCGACUACCUGGACUGAUACUGACACUGAGGUGCGAAAGCGUGGGGAGCAAACAGGAUUAGAAACCCCAGUAGUCC